Oncorhynchus keta (chum salmon) is the source of this 334-nucleotide long non-coding RNA. RefSeq lists it as uncharacterized. The record is from RefSeq and is a predicted model, not a curated record. The transcript is spliced from 2 exons. NCBI's taxonomy places the organism in Eukaryota, Metazoa, Chordata, Actinopteri, Salmoniformes, Salmonidae.
GCGACGCGACAGUCUCCACAUCGGCUUCAACCUCCCCCACUGGCGAGCCGCUGAUUCGUCCGGGGCUGGAGUCUGUGCUGCACGCGGGUUUGGUGGAGACUUGAGCGGUGAAAGGCUGCCUCAGCGGCAGGCUCAUCCUGCAUGUUGUGCCGAUGCGCAGCAACUGACAGGAACAGUGGGGACACCGAACCGACGCUACUGUGCGAGACCAAGGGCGAGCCGGGGCGCAACUGGCGGAUGGAAACCGGAGAAGAGGAGGAGCAGAUAUUAGAGAGCGUCCGUCGAGGAGUAGAGCGGUGUCCAAUGUAAUAAAUAAACCAAUAAUAAACCAAAA